This 497-nucleotide ribosomal RNA is filed under the name uncultured bacterium. RNAcentral's name for it is "partial 16S ribosomal RNA". It matches the Rfam family "Bacterial small subunit ribosomal RNA", at positions 28 to 507 of the family's 1533-position model. The record is from RNAcentral.
GAUGAACGCUGGCGGCGUGCCUAAUACAUGCAAGUCGAGCGAACAGACGAGGAGCUUGCUCCUCUGACGUUAGCGGCGGACGGGUGAGUAACACGUGGAUAACCUACCUAUAAGACUGGGAUAACUUCGGGAAACCGGAGCUAAUACCGGAUAAUAUAUUGAACCGCAUGGUUCAAUAGUGAAAGACGGUUUUGCUGUCACUUAUAGAUGGAUCCGCGCCGCAUUAGCUAGUUGGUAAGGUAACGGCUUACCAAGGCAACGAUGCGUAGCCGACCUGAGAGGGUGAUCGGCCACCCUGGAACUGAGACACGGUCCAGACUCCUACGGGAGGCAGCAGUAGGGAAUCUUCCGCGAUGGGCGAAAGCCUGACGGAGCAACGCCGCGUGAGUGAUGAAGGUCUUCGGAUCGUAAAACUCUGUUAUUAGGGAAGAACAAAUGUGUAAGUAACUAUGCACGUCUUGACGGUACCUAAUCAGAAAGCCACGGCUAACUACGUG